Molecule: long non-coding RNA, 762 nt
Filed under: Hordeum vulgare
Lineage: Eukaryota; Viridiplantae; Streptophyta; Magnoliopsida; Poales; Poaceae
Description: long non-coding RNA (HVUL_LNC008563)
Source: RNAcentral
CAGCCGCAGCCGCCACCGGCGGAGCAGCCUCCACCACAGAGCUCCUGGCGGCACCACCGCCGAGCGAGGACGACGAGGAGGACGAAGACGACGUGCUGCUGCCGCCAGUGCGCAUCCGCUUGGGGUCCCGGACGGAGUCAGCGGAGAGGUCGGCCGGCGCGACGGGCGGCGAGAUGAUCGGGCGCAGGGCGUAGGUGCUGCUGGAGGAGUCGACAGAGGGCGGGAGAUCGAAGUAUCCGCCGCCGCCCGUGACGGUGGAAGAGGUGGAGGCGUUGAGCUGCGGCGGGGCCGGCGGGAGGGGCGGCGGCGGCGCGUUGAGCUCGGACAGCAUGCUCUCGACCCAGGAGGAGAGGUCGGUGGGGUUGUAGUGGACGGUGUCCGUGGCGAGGUGGGUCGCGAAGCCGUCGUCGGGGGCGGGGCCGCCCAUCCCCAUGGCCAUCUCGAGCUGCUCCAGCUUCUGCGCCACGUCCGCCAUGUCGGACGCCCGCACCUUGUACCCGAGCGCCGCCAGCAGCUCGUCCACCUCCUCCCCCUCCCCCGCCUCCGACGACGACACCAUCAUCUUGUCCCUCGACGACCCCAUCUCAUCACCCCCACCGCCGCUCCCGCCGCCGUCCUGGUACUCGCGCUUCAUGAUCCUCGCCGCGAGCGAGCUACCUCGCUCUCUACCUAGCCAAUAAUCGCGGGAAGCUUUUGCUUGCCUCGGUUUCGGGUGCGGGGAGGGUCAGGAUUUGGAUCCAGGGUUGGGAAAGGGGGGAGGAG